This 216-nucleotide long non-coding RNA is filed under the name Capsicum annuum. RNAcentral describes it as "long non-coding RNA (CANN_LNC000463)". The record is from RNAcentral. Lineage: Eukaryota; Viridiplantae; Streptophyta; Magnoliopsida; Solanales; Solanaceae.
ACCUUCGUGAAUCGGAGAGAAAUGAAGAAUUAGAAAAAAGAGCAAAAUGGAUGAGUUGGUCACUGUUGUGGUAGAAGAGGAAAAAGAAGAAGAAAAGAAGGAUGAUGAAGAAGAAAUGGAAGAAGAUAAGAGCCAAGAAGAAAGUGUAAAAAAAAAAAGCUACAGUAGAAGAAGAAAAUAUUGAAAAAGAAGAAGCAGCAGUUGAAGAAGAAGGAA